RNAcentral lists this ribosomal RNA (253 nucleotides) under uncultured bacterium. RNAcentral's name for it is "partial 16S ribosomal RNA". It matches the Rfam family "Bacterial small subunit ribosomal RNA", at positions 524 to 776 of the family's 1533-position model. The record is from RNAcentral.
UACGGAGGGUGCAAGCGUUAUCCGGAUUCACUGGGUUUAAAGGGUGCGUAGGUGGGUUUGUAAGUCAGUGGUGAAAUCUCCAAGCUUAACUUGGAAACUGCCGUUGAUACUAUAAAUCUUGAAUGUUGUGGAGGUGAGCGGAAUAUGUCAUGUAGCGGUGAAAUGCUUAGAUAUGACAUAGAACACCAAUUGCGAAGGCAGCUCACUACACGAAGAUUGACACUGAGGCACGAAAGCGUGGGGAUCAAACAGG